RNAcentral lists this ribosomal RNA (366 nucleotides) under uncultured soil bacterium. RNAcentral's name for it is "bacterial SSU rRNA". It matches the Rfam family "Bacterial small subunit ribosomal RNA", at positions 26 to 401 of the family's 1533-position model. The record is from RNAcentral.
AGAACGAACGCUGGCGGCAUGCCUAAUACAUGCAAGUCGAACGAACACUCUGACUUCGGUUGGGGUGUUAGUGGCGCACGGGUGCGUAACGCGUGGGAAUCUGCCCUUGGGUUCGGAAUAACAGGUUGGAAACGACUGACUAAUACCGGAUGAUAUCGAAUGAUACAAAGUAUUUAUCGCCCAGGGAUGAGCCCGCGUAGAUUAGCUAGGUUGGUAGGGGUAAAGGCUCACCGAGGCGACGAUCCUUAGCUGGUCUGAGAGGAUGAUCAGCCACACGUGGGCUGACGACACCGGCCCAGACCUCCGUACGGGAGCAGCAGUAGGAUAUGGACAGUGGCACAAGCCUAGACUCCAGCAAUCGCCGCG